This is a long non-coding RNA of Magallana angulata, 1357 nucleotides long. RefSeq lists it as uncharacterized. The transcript is spliced from 2 exons. Lineage: Eukaryota; Metazoa; Mollusca; Bivalvia; Ostreida; Ostreidae. The record is from RefSeq and is a predicted model, not a curated record.
AAUAUAUUAUUUAUAACUGUAAUGUGCAGGGAUCAUAACUAGACAAGGACUCGUAUCAGGCGAGCUAUUCGGUCCCCAUGGUACAUUACUUUUUUUUCUUGACACAGUCUUUUAGCGAGAUCGACUGAUCAGAUAUGAGAUUUUUGCUGACUUUACGUAAUCAGAUGGCAAACAUGAUAUAAUCAAUUAGCUUCAGUUGGACCCUAUUUGCACAAACUGUUUUCUAUUCCUUUAGGUUUGCUUGUUAUAAAAUCAAAUAGCUGCCAGCAAACGUCAAUGAUACGGGGUAAUACGGGCUACGAAAUUGUUGAAAUCGAUCUUUCCUUUUUGAAGACAAAACAAGAUAAACUGCACCAAAUCCGUCAGAAUCUUAAUAUCUUUCUUUUAAAAAAUUUAAAAAAAAUAUAUGUCAUUUAAAUCUAGCCAUAUUUUUUAUGUGCAAAAUUGUCACAAUGAAAUUUUUGUCGCAUUUCAAAAAAAGUUGCCGAUCGAUGUUUUAGAGAAAUAUUGAUGCAACCCAAUCACAUGCAUAGGUUCGUGUUUCUGUAUAACUGUACAUAUUUUGAUGUUUUCGUGAACACUUCAAUGAUAAACUUUUUUUAAAAAAUCUUUGCUAUUAUUACUCUGACCUGUUUGUUUAAAUUAUACACUAUAAUACCUGUUUUUCUUACAAUCAUCUUUGGCUACAAGUGUUUCUUAACGUAAUGAGAUAAAGGGGCAAAAUGGAGAGAUAAUUUAGAUAGAAAACGUAUGAGACCAAGGGGUGGAGGUUGAUUUCUUUAAUUAUGCACUUCUUUUAAUGUCUGAUAUUCUUAAUUGGUUGAUGAAUCUGGAUGCAAAAAAGAAAAAAAAAUUGCCAACAUCUGCAAUGUGCAGGUUUCAUUGCGAUACAAAUUCCAUACGCAUCGUUUCAAGCGGCCAAACAGAUUAUCUCGUUUUAUCUUUCAUCGCGUGUAUUACAUACAGCGUACAUCCGCUUAUCUUGGCAUGGUGUAAGAAUUCGAAGAAAUAUAUGCCUGUCAGACAGGAGGAUUUGGAGAGGGGAUGUCCAAAAGAAAACGUCCAAGACAUUCUUUCUCCUCGUGAUGCAAUGCCGUCUGCACUAGCGAUACUCAUCUUCCCAGCAUUCCACUGGAGAUCCUGCUCGUCUGCCAUGACAAGAUCUCGUGUGAUGAGGUGGAGCACUGGUUGACAGUCUGCAUCAUGUGUUCUGUGUACUCAAUAAUAUACAUGUACUACAUGUGUACACACUCAAGUUGAUAUGAACAGCAUAUUGAAGAGACUGAGUUAAAUUAUCCCAUCAUUUCUUACUUUAAUACAAUGAUCGAAACAAAAUAAAUUGAAACUGAAGCUAGUC